AGUGAACGCUGGCGGUAGGCCUAACACAUGCAAGUCGAACGGCAGCACAGUAAGAGCUUGCUCUUACGGGUGGCGAGUGGCGGACGGGUGAGGAAUACAUCGGAAUCUACUUUUUCGUGGGGGAUAACGUAGGGAAACUUACGCUAAUACCGCAUACGACCUACGGGUGAAAGCAGGGGAUCUUCGGACCUUGCGCGAUUGAAUGAGCCGAUGUCGGAUUAGCUAGUUGGCGGGGUAAAGGCCCACCAAGGCGACGAUCCGUAGCUGGUCUGAGAGGAUGAUCAGCCACACUGGAACUGAGACACGGUCCAGACUCCUACGGGAGGCAGCAGUGGGGAAUAUUGGACAAAGGGCGAAAGCCUGAUCCAGCCAUACCGCGUGGGUGAAGAAGGCCUUCGGGUUGUAAAGCCCUUUUGUUGGGAAAGAAAAGCAGCAGGUUAAUACACCGAUGUUCUGACGGUACCCAAAGAAUAAGCACCGGCUAACUUCGUG
This 492-nucleotide ribosomal RNA is filed under the name uncultured bacterium. RNAcentral describes it as "partial 16S ribosomal RNA". It matches the Rfam family "Bacterial small subunit ribosomal RNA", at positions 29 to 507 of the family's 1533-position model. The record is from RNAcentral.